RNAcentral lists this long non-coding RNA (3587 nucleotides) under Chloebia gouldiae (Gouldian finch). RNAcentral describes it as "Erythrura gouldiae (Gouldian finch) lncRNA (ENSEGOG00005014776.1)". Lineage: Eukaryota; Metazoa; Chordata; Aves; Passeriformes; Passeridae. The record is from RNAcentral.
AUGGGAUCUCUGUCUGCCCCCCUCGCACCACGUGGAUCCGCCUUUUUUUUUUCUUUUUUUUUUUUUAAACCAUUUUUCCGCCCCCCCGUCCCUCCCCAAAUCCCUCUCCCCCUCCCCCCAAAUCCCACUGUUUUGAGCCCCCCAAUUCCAAACCUGAUUUUAGGGCGAGAGGUGCAGCAUAAAGAAAGCGGCGGCGCGGGGCCUUUGCACUAUUUUCGGUGGCGGUUCCUGUUGCAGGGAAAAAAAAAAAAAAGUUUUGGGACAGGCCCUGAGCUCGCGGAAUUCCGAUGGAAAAACCCCCAAAAUCCCAAAAAAAGCCUUGGAAGGAAGGAAAAAGGGUUCAACCCCCCCCCCCCCCAGGUGAAUUCCUUACUCACAGAAUUAUCCCGGGAGCACUUCCAGGGAAUUUCAGGGAUUUUUCAGCAUUUCCAUGGGAACGGGAUCCCUAAAAAAGGGAUUUCCCCCCAAAAGGCCGUCUGGGAUUUAUGGGGAGCCGGGAAUGGCGGGGCAGGCCGGGGCAGGCCGGCUGGAACCGGUCUGACCGGGAUACGGAAAAACGGGAAUAGCUGCGGCUCCCCGGAGCGGGAAUGGCUCACCCGGGAUAACCCCGGAGCGCCCGGGCUGGGACGGAGCCGGGGGCUGGGAACGGGGAUUUGGGACAGCCAUGGGAUUGGGAUAGCCGUGGGAUUGGGAUAUCCAUGGGAUUGGGAUAGCUGUGGGAUUGGGAUAGCCAUGGGAUUGAGAUAUCCAUGGGAUUGGGAUAUCCAUGGGAUUGGGAUAGCCGUGGGAUUGGGAUAGCUGUGGGAUUGGCAUAUCCAUGGGAUUGAGAUAUCCAUGGGAUUGGGAUAGCCAUGGGAUUGGGAUAUCCAUGGGAUUGGGAUAGCUGUGGGAUUGGGAUAGCCGUGGGUUUGGGAUAGCUGUGGGAUUGAGAUAUCCAUGGGAUUGGGAUAUCCAUGGGAUUGGGAUAGCUGUGGGAUUGGGAUAGCCGUGGGAUUGGCAUAUCCAUGGGAUUGAGAUAUCCAUGGGAUUGGGAUAGCCAUGGGAUUGGGAUAUCCAUGGGAUUGGGAUAUCCAUGGGAUUGGGAUAGCUGUGGGAUUGGGAUAGCCAUGGGAUUGAGAUAUCCAUGGGAUUGGGAUAUCCAUGGGAUUGAGAUAUCCAUGGGAUUGAGAUAUCCAUGGGAUUGGGAUAUCCAUGGGAUUGGGAUAUCCAUGGGAUUGGGAUAGCCGUGGGAUUGGGAUAGCCAUGGGAUUGGGNNNNNNNNNNUGGGAUUGGGAUAGCCAUGGGAUUGGGAUAGCCGUGGGAUUGGGAUAGCCGUGGGAUUGGGAUCUCUAUCCAUGGGAUUUGGGAUCUCUGGGAAUGGGGAUUUGGGAUAUCCAUGGGAUUGGGAUCUCCGGGAACAGGGAUUUGAGAUAGCCAUGGGAUUGGGAUAUCCGUGGGAUUUGAGAUGGCUGUGGGAUUGGGAUAGCCAUGGGAUUGGGAUUUUGGGGGAAGAGGAUUUGGGAUAUCCAUGGGAUUGGGAUCUCUGGGAUUCAGAGAUUUGGGAUAGCCAUGGGACUGGGAUCUCUGGGAUUCUGGGAUUUGCAUCCACAGGGGUGGGAACCCUCGGGAAAGGGGGAUUUGAGAUACCCAUGGGAUUGGGAUAUCGAUGGGAUUGGGAUCUCUGGGAUUCAGAGAUUUGGGAUAUCCAUGGGAUUGGCAUGUCCGGGAAAGGGGAUUUGGGAUAUCCACGGGAUUGGGAUCUCUGGGAUUCUGGGAUUUGCAUCCAUGGGGUUGGGAAUCCUCGGGAAAGGGGGAUUUGCAGCAGGACCCUGUGCAGAAAUCCCAGGAACAGAGAGACCUUGGGAACAGCCUGGGAAGGGGGGUGGGAUCGGGAUGGGGCUGGAGCGGGAUCUGUGGGAUUCAGGGAUUCAGGGAUGGGAUCUGUGGGAUCAGGGUGGGAUCCAUUGGAUCUGUGGAAAUCAGGGAUUGAGGGAUGGGAUCCAUGGGAUUCAGAGAUGGGAUCCAUUGGAUCUGUGGGAUUCUGGGAUGGGAUCCAUUAGACUGGGAUAGGAUCUGUGGGGUCUGUGAGAUUCAGGGAUGGGAUCUGUGGGAUUCAAGGAUGGAUCCAUGGGAUCUGUGGGAUUCAAGGAUGGGAUCCACACCAGGCCCUUCCCAGGCUCCUUUCCCAGCCAGGCCGCAGCUCCAGAGGUUUUCCAGGACCUGCAGAGGCUCCGGGUGACACAAACACGGGAUUUUCCCAGGGAUUUCCUUUGGGAUGGGGCGGAUCCAAGGCCUGGCUGGGAAUUGGGCGGGAAUGGAUUGGAAUUGCCUGGGAAUUUGGAGGGUUCUGCUGGGAAUUUGCUGGGAAUUUCUUUGGAAGGAGCAAGGGCUGAGCUGGGAUUCCAGAUCCACGCAACUUCCGAGCUGUGCCGAGGGAUUUGGGGCCGGAAAAGCAGGACCAGGGAUCGGGGAUUGGGAUCAGGGAUUGGGGAUCGGGGAUUGGGAUUGGGGAUUGGGAUCAGGGAUUGGGAUCAGGGAUUGGGGACUGGGAUCAGGAAUUGGGAACGGGGAUUGGGGAUCAGGGAUUGGGGAUUGGGGAUCAGGGAUCAGGCAUUGGGAUUGGGGAUCAGGGAUUUGGGAUCAGGGAUUUGGGAUCAGGGAUUGGGAUCAUUGAUUGGGAUCAUUGAUUGGGAUCAGGGAUUGGGAUCAGGGAUUGAGAUCAGGGAUUUGGGAUCAGGCCCAGCCCCGCCCCUCUCCCUCAUCCCACAGAUCCCAUAGAUCCACCCGGAUUCCCUCCAGGCUGGAAAUUCCCAGGGCACUCUAUGGGAGCCAUUCCAGAAAACCCCGUGGGAAAGGGGCUCGGGGAUUUCCAGGGAAUAGCGGAGGAAAGGGCGGCUCCAGGGCCAAAUUCCAGCUGUUCAAUGGCCCAAAAUCCUUGGGAAAAUUGGGAUAUUCCUUGGGAAAGCUGCUCCGAAACUUUCCAGGGAAUGCUGGAAGGAAAGGGCAUCCUUGGAGUGCCUCCAGCCCCAGAAUUCCAUGGAUUUCUGCCCAAAUCCCGGUGUUUAAUUCAAACACAUUGCCAAAAAUCCUCUGGAAAAGUUGGGAUGUUCCUUAGGAAAGGUGGGAAUGACGCCAGAAUUCCAUGGAUUUUUGUGAAAUUCCCAGUGUUUAAUCAGAGUAUAAUCCCAAACCCUCUGGAAAAGUUGGGAUAUUCUGUGGGAAUGAUGCCAUUGAAGCCCCAGAAUUCCAUGGAUUUUUAUGAAAAUCCCGGAUUUAAUUAGAGAACAAUCCCAAACCCUCUGGAACAACUGGAAUAUUCUUGGGAAAGGUGGGACUGAUGCCAGAAUUCCAUGGAUUUCUGUGACAAUCCCGGUGUUUAAAUCGGGAAUAAUCCCAAACCCCCUGGAAAAGUUGGGAUAUUCCUGGGAAAGGGAUCCAGCAGGGGGCAGCCUCCCACGCCGGGAUCCCGGGAAAAUCCAGGGAUUUUUCUGGGAAUGGGGAACAUUCCGUGUAAUUAUGACCAUCAAUUAUUAAUAAUUAUGAACACGGGUAAUUAAUAUUCAUGAUUAGCGUUAAUAAAUGUGCAAUAGAAAGUUCCGGACGGAGCA